RNAcentral lists this ribosomal RNA (253 nucleotides) under uncultured soil bacterium. Its description in RNAcentral is "partial 16S ribosomal RNA". It matches the Rfam family "Bacterial small subunit ribosomal RNA", at positions 26 to 288 of the family's 1533-position model. The record is from RNAcentral.
AGGACGAACGCUGGCGGCGUGCUUAACACAUGCAAGUCAAGGGGGCCCAGCAAUGGGCAACCGGCGAACGGGUGCGUAACACGUGAGCAACCUACCGAAAUGUGGGGGAUAGCCGGCCUAACGGCCGAGUAAUACCGCAUACGCUCUCGAUGAGGCAUUUCAUUGAGAGGAAACCUACGGGACAUUUCGAGGGGCUCGCGGCCUAUCAGCUAGUUGGCGAGGUAACGGCUCACCAAGGCAACGACGGGUAGCU